RNAcentral lists this ribosomal RNA (378 nucleotides) under uncultured Actinomyces sp. RNAcentral's name for it is "bacterial SSU rRNA". It matches the Rfam family "Bacterial small subunit ribosomal RNA", at positions 405 to 780 of the family's 1533-position model. Lineage: Bacteria; Bacillati; Actinomycetota; Actinomycetes; Actinomycetales; Actinomycetaceae. The record is from RNAcentral.
GGGAUGACGGCCUUCGGGUUGUGAACCUCUUUCGCCAGUGAAGCAGGCCUGCUCCUUGUGGGUGGGUUGACGGUAGCUGGAUAAGAAGCGCCGGCUAACUACGUGCCAGCAGCCGCGGUAAUACGUAGGGCGCGAGCGUUGUCCGGAAUUAUUGGGCGUAAAGAGCUCGUAGGCGGCUGGUCGCGUCUGUCGUGAAAUCCUCUGGCUUAACUGGGGGCUUGCGGUGGGUACGGGCCGGCUUGAGUGCGGUAGGGGAGACUGGAACUCCUGGUGUAGCGGUGGAAUGCGCAGAUAUCAGGAAGAACACCGGUGGCGAAGGCGGGUCUCUGGGCCGUUACUGGCGCUGAGGAGCGAAAGCGUGGGGAGUCGACGCGGCCG